This 406-nucleotide ribosomal RNA is filed under the name uncultured bacterium. RNAcentral describes it as "partial 16S ribosomal RNA". It matches the Rfam family "Bacterial small subunit ribosomal RNA", at positions 29 to 526 of the family's 1533-position model. The record is from RNAcentral.
AUUGAACGCUGGCGGCAGGCUUAACACAUGCAAGUCGAGCGAGCGGCGGACGGGUGAGUAAUGUCUGGGAAACUGCCUGAUGGAGGGGGAUACCUACUGGAAACGGUAGCUAAUACCGCAUACCAUCAGAUGUGCCCAGAUGGGAUUAGCUAGUAGGUGGGGUAAUGGCUCACCAAGGCGACGAUCCCUAGCUGGUCUGAGAGGAUGACCGGCCAAACUGGAACGGAGACACGGUCCAGACUCCUACGGAGGGCAGCGGAGGGGAAUAUUGCACAAUGGGGGAAAUCCUGAGACAGCCAUGCCGCGUGGGUGAAGAAGGCCUUCGGGUUGUAAAGCACUGUCAGCGAGGAGGCGUUACUCGCAGAAGAAGCACCGGCUAACUCCGUGCCAGCAGCCGCGGUAAUAC